This is a non-coding RNA of Camelina sativa (false flax), 550 nucleotides long. Lineage: Eukaryota; Viridiplantae; Streptophyta; Magnoliopsida; Brassicales; Brassicaceae. The record is from RefSeq and is a predicted model, not a curated record.
GGUGGUUACCGGAGGCUCGCCGCUUUACCGACCUAUCUCCUCGCUGCUUCUCCUAUAUACUUGGGUGGAAGACAAGUAUAGAUUGAGGAAGGAAGUCCAAAUCCAGAGCAAGAUAUGGGUGAUUCUUUCCCUAUAGAUAUAAAGCUUCCUGAACUUUGUUUCAACAUUGGAGAGGAACCAAGAUCAGAUGUGAAGAUAAACCAGUUUCCAAACUACGAUGCUGUCAUACAAGUAAAAAGCAUCCUCUCAGUUGCGGAGUAUGAGAGGAUCAAGAAUUCGUUCCUGGGACCUAUUUUGAAGGUUAUCAACAGAGGACUGAUGAUGUCUGGGAAGAUGGUGCACUGUUUUCUGAGCAGGAGUUUAAAGGUAUCAAAGGAUAAUGAACUAUGGAUGCAUUUUGGAGGACAACCAAUGAGAUUCUCAAUAAGAGAAUUUCAUAUGGUCACUGGAUUGAAAUGCACUGAAUGGGGAGCUAAUGAAGAUCAACGGCAGAAUCGCUAUGACUGGGCUAACACUGAAGAUGCUCACACAUAUGAAGAUCUUUUGGAUA